AGUGAACGCUGGCGGUAGGCCUAACACAUGCAAGUCGAACGGCAGCACAGUAAGAGCUUGCUCUUACGGGUGGCGAGUGGCGGACGGGUGAGGAAUACAUCGGAAUCUACUUUUUCGUGGGGGAUAACGUAGGGAAACUUACGCUAAUACCGCAUACGACCUACGGGUGAAAGCAGGGGAUCUUCGGACCUUGCGCGAUUGAAUGAGCCGAUGUCGGAUUAGCUAGUUGGCGGGGUAAAGGCCCACCAAGGCGACGAUCCGUAGCUGGUCUGAGAGGAUGAUCAGCCACACUGGAACUGAGACACGGUCCAGACUCCUACGGGAGGCAGCAGUGGGGAAUAUUGGACAAUGGGCGCAAGCCUGAUCCAGCCAUACCGCGUGGGUGAAGAAGGCCUUCGGGUUGUAAAGCCCUUUUGUUGGGAAAGAAAAGCAGGGUUAAUACCCCGCUGUUCUGACGGUACCCAAAGAAUAAGCACCGGCUAACUUCGUG
RNAcentral lists this ribosomal RNA (490 nucleotides) under uncultured bacterium. RNAcentral's name for it is "partial 16S ribosomal RNA". It matches the Rfam family "Bacterial small subunit ribosomal RNA", at positions 29 to 507 of the family's 1533-position model. The record is from RNAcentral.